Molecule: long non-coding RNA, 853 nt
Organism: Vanessa tameamea
Lineage: Eukaryota; Metazoa; Arthropoda; Insecta; Lepidoptera; Nymphalidae
Exons: 3
Source: RefSeq, a predicted model, not a curated record
UGUAGAAUGCGUUCACACUAAAACGAUUUUGGAUUCCCUUGCUAACCAAAGCACAUUUGACAUCAUAAUCAAAUUUGAAACUAGCAGCGAUCUUAACGCAGUAAUUUUGCGCUUAAGACAAGAUAACAUUAACGAUAAUUUUUUAUUUUUAUCAUUCGAAAAAACCAGCUUUGGUGGUUACGAAUCCGAUUCGAGUUCAGACGACUCGAGGUGCGAUUUCUGAAGCAUGUUUUCGGAGGAAGCUUAAAUCUUCAUAACAUUGGUGGCAAGUCAUCAUUCAUAAUUAUAUGUUAUGGAGUUUAAGCUAUCUCAUCCGACAAUAUUAUAUAUUCAAGUAAUAUAUGUACCACUUACAUGUUUUAUCAUUAAACGUAGACAAGCAAAACAUACGAAAAUGCUGUACUAUGUGUCCUACUUAAAUUAUUAUAAAUCUCUAUCUCUAUUGUAAUACUCUCGAGACUACGGUCGGUUACUCUAAGGCCGUCUUGGACUGAGGUCCAAGGUCCUAGGUGUUGCUGCCUCAGAGGCAGUUAAAUUAGCAAUUAAGCAAAAAUAAUAUAUUAUCUAAAUGGUGAAUGAAGGUGGAAGUGAGACUUCAAUGAUGAUUUGAAUUUUAAGAACGUUGUAGUUGAUGUUCCUUAAAGUAAAACUUUAUGUAAGGUAGAUAUACCAUAAAAUAUUAACGGCCUUACUAAUAAAUAUUGUAUAGCAAUAAACGUAUACAUACAUUUGCUACACAAAAUGUAUUAGUAAAGUAAUAAAUGUAUAAUUUUUUCUUGUAUACGAGUAUAAGUUAAAUAAAGAUGUGGAUGAAAUGUAAUUUAUUUUCUAAAUAUAUUAGCAUUGUGUAUUU